CGUGUAGGCGGCCGAUCAAGUCCGGUGUGAAAGCCCGAGGCUCAGCUUCGGAAGUGCAUCGGAAACUAACCGGCUCGAGCGCGAUAGAGGAGGGUGGAAUUCCUGGUGUAGCGGUGAAAUGCGUAGAUAUCAGGAGGAACACCGGCGGCGAAGGCGGCCCUCUGGAUCGUUGCUGACGCUGAGACGCGAAAGCGUGGGGAGCAAACAGGAUUAGAUACCCUGGUAGUCCACGCUGUAAACGAUGGGUACUAGGUGUUCGGGGUGUUGACCCCCUGAGUGCCGACGCUAACGCAUUAAGUACCCCGCCUGGGACUACGGCCGCAAGGUUAAA
RNAcentral lists this ribosomal RNA (331 nucleotides) under uncultured bacterium. Its description in RNAcentral is "bacterial SSU rRNA". It matches the Rfam family "Bacterial small subunit ribosomal RNA", at positions 568 to 898 of the family's 1533-position model. The record is from RNAcentral.